UGAUGGGAAACAAGUUGUGUGGUA
RNAcentral lists this non-coding RNA (24 nucleotides) under Arabidopsis thaliana (thale cress). Lineage: Eukaryota; Viridiplantae; Streptophyta; Magnoliopsida; Brassicales; Brassicaceae. The record is from RNAcentral.